Molecule: ribosomal RNA, 713 nt
Filed under: Cassava frogskin disease phytoplasma
Lineage: Bacteria; Bacillati; Mycoplasmatota; Mollicutes; Acholeplasmatales; Acholeplasmataceae
Description: bacterial SSU rRNA
Rfam family: Bacterial small subunit ribosomal RNA
Source: RNAcentral
AAUACAUAAGGGGCGAGCGUUAUCCGGAAUUAUUGGGCGUAAAGGGUGCGUAGGCGGUUUAAUAAGUCUAUAGUUUAAUUUCAGUGCUUAACGCUGUUGUGCUAUAGAAACUGUUUUACUAGAGUGAGUUAGAGGCAAGCGGAAUUCCAUGUGUAGCGGUAAAAUGCGUAAAUAUAUGGAGGAACACCAGAGGCGUAGGCGGCUUGCUGGGACUUUACUGACGCUGAGGCACGAAAGCGUGGGGAGCAAACAGGAUUAGAUACCCUGGUAGUCCACACCGUAAACGAUGAGUACUAAGUGUCGGGUAAAACCGGUACUGAAGUUAACACAUUAAGUACUCCGCCUGAGUAGUACGUACGCAAGUAUGAAACUUAAAGGAAUUGACGGGACUCCGCACAAGCGGUGGAUCAUGUUGUUUAAUUCGAAGAUACACGAAAAACCUUACCAGGUCUUGACAUUUUCUUGCGAAGUUAUAGAAAUAUAAUGGAGGUUAUCAGGAAAACAGGUAGUGCAUGGUUGUCGUCAGCUCGUGUCGUGAGAUGUUAGGUUAAGUCCUAAAACGAGCGCAACCCUUGUCGUUAAUUGCCAGCAUGUAAUGAUGGGGACUUUAACGAGACUGCCAAUGAAAAAUUGGAGGAAGGUGGGGAUUACGUCAAAUCAUCAUGCCCCUUAUGAUCUGGGCUACAAACGUGAUACAAUGGUUGAUACAAAGA